GCGGAUGGCCGGACGGUCGCGGGCCUUUCACGGGUUCGAGGAAAGUCCGGGCUCCAUCAGGUGACGGUGCCGGGUAACGCCCGGCGGGGGCAACCCCAGGGAAAGCGCCACAGAGAACAGACCGCCCGCGUCCGCGCGGGUAAGGGUGAAACGGUGGGGUAAGAGCCCACCGGGGCGGCGGCAACGCGGCUCGCAUGGCAAGCCCCACCGGGAGCAAUGCCGAAUAGGGAUCGCGCGCCGCAAGGCAGGGCCGCCUGGCCCCAGCAGAUCCGGGUUGGCAGCUUGACGCCCGCAGCAAUGCGUGGCGCAGAUGAAUGACCGUCCACGGGCUUCGGCCCCGGACAGAACCCGGCUUACAGGCCAUCCGCGCAA
This 372-nucleotide RNase P RNA is filed under the name Paracoccus sp. (in: a-proteobacteria). Its description in RNAcentral is "RNase P RNA component class A". It matches the Rfam family "Bacterial RNase P class A". From Rfam's summary of the family: Ribonuclease P (RNase P) is a ubiquitous endoribonuclease, found in archaea, bacteria and eukarya as well as chloroplasts and mitochondria. Its best characterised activity is the generation of mature 5'-ends of tRNAs by cleaving the 5'-leader elements of precursor-tRNAs. Cellular RNase Ps are ribonucleoproteins. The record is from RNAcentral. Lineage: Bacteria; Pseudomonadati; Pseudomonadota; Alphaproteobacteria; Rhodobacterales; Paracoccaceae.